RNAcentral lists this long non-coding RNA (297 nucleotides) under Nicotiana benthamiana. Its description in RNAcentral is "long non-coding RNA (NBEN_LNC010058)". Lineage: Eukaryota; Viridiplantae; Streptophyta; Magnoliopsida; Solanales; Solanaceae. The record is from RNAcentral.
CGAACCGAUCCGUGACCGUUACGGUUCUCGUUAAAAGAAACUCGAACAUCUCUCGGCGUAAGCACCCCGCGGUUGGGACUCUCUUCAAGUACCCUAGAUAAAGGCGACCGCUGUGAAAAUGGAGAUUCCGUUAUAAAGUCGAAGUCUUUAUUGUUAUUAUUAUUGUAGGCGACCGCUGUGAAAAUGGCGAUUCCGUUAUAAAGUCGAAAUCUUUAUUGUUAUUAUUACUAUUAUUAUCCCUUUGUGCUCUCAUAAAUGCAUCGCUCGAGAAAUCGUAACUUGAAUCUCUAUAUAUCU